CCUGCAGCAGGUUCGAGCCGAACGUAGUGAGGCACCGGAGCCGUUUACGGCGACGGCCCGAAGGGCGAGCGAAGCGAGUCAUCCUGCACGACCCACCA
RNAcentral lists this small RNA (98 nucleotides) under Enterobacter bugandensis. RNAcentral describes it as "partial RtT sRNA". It matches the Rfam family "RtT RNA", at positions 29 to 130 of the family's 130-position model. From Rfam's summary of the family: This family represents a bacterial cis-regulatory element known as RtT RNA. The record is from RNAcentral. Lineage: Bacteria; Pseudomonadati; Pseudomonadota; Gammaproteobacteria; Enterobacterales; Enterobacteriaceae.